RNAcentral lists this long non-coding RNA (289 nucleotides) under Chinchilla lanigera (long-tailed chinchilla). RNAcentral describes it as "lncRNA (ENSCLAG00000027588.1)". Lineage: Eukaryota; Metazoa; Chordata; Mammalia; Rodentia; Chinchillidae. The record is from RNAcentral.
CGGGCCUCCAGGCUGCGCCCUGCCCAGCUCCCACUCUUGAAAAUGUCUUCUCAUUGCAAGUUGGAGUGUUGAGGUGCCCUAGGCCCUGGGUCCACACCGGUCACCAGCACGGCCUUGUCUGCCUCCCCACGGGGCCCACUGAGCCUGGGAGUGGACCUGCUUUGGAGGAAGCAGCUCAGUCUGGACAAACUCACUGUGGGCUAGCAGGCUGAUUUCCCCAACCCCACCCAGGUUGUAGACAAGCUCUGCCCAGAUUUUCCACUCAGUUUUGCCGGAAGCUGUGUGAAGA